GUAGGGAAUCUUCCACAAUGGACGAAAGCCUGAUGGAGCAACGCCGCGUGAGUGAAGAAGGUCUUCGGAUCGUAAAACUCUGUUGUUAGAGAAGAACGUGCGUGAUAGUAACUGAUCAUGUAAUGACGGUAUCUAACCAGAAAGCCACGUCUAACUACGUGCCAGCAGCCGCGGUAAUACUAAGGUGGCAAGCGUUGACCGGAUUUAUUGUGCGUAAAGGGAACGCAGGCGGUUUUGUAAGUAUGAGGUGAAAGCCUUCGGCUUAACCGAAGAAUAGCAUUGGAAACUGGAAGACUUGAGUGCAGAAGAGGAGAGUGGAAUUCCAUGUGUAGCGGUGAAAUGCGUAGAUAUAUGGAGGAACACCAGUGGCGAAGGCGGCUCUCUGGUCUGUUACUGACGCUGAGGUUCGAAAGCGUGGGUAGCAAACAGGAUUAGAUACCCCUGUAGUCC
RNAcentral lists this ribosomal RNA (450 nucleotides) under uncultured bacterium. Its description in RNAcentral is "partial 16S ribosomal RNA". It matches the Rfam family "Bacterial small subunit ribosomal RNA", at positions 354 to 796 of the family's 1533-position model. The record is from RNAcentral.